This 1066-nucleotide ribosomal RNA is filed under the name uncultured bacterium. RNAcentral's name for it is "bacterial SSU rRNA". It matches the Rfam family "Bacterial small subunit ribosomal RNA", at positions 8 to 1056 of the family's 1533-position model. The record is from RNAcentral.
AGAGUUUGAUCAUGGCUCAGGACGAGCGCUGGCGGCGUGCUUAACACAUGCAAGUCAAGGAGAAAAGAGUUUUUCGAAAUUCUUAGUAAACUGGCGAAAGGGUGAGUAUCGCGUAGGCAAUCUGCCCCGCAGUGGGGAAUAACAUCGGGAAACUGGUGCUAAUACCGCAUGAUGUUCAAUUUUCGCAUGUUAAUUGAAUCAAAGGASGUUUCGACUUGUCGAAACACCGCUGUGGGAUGGGCCUGCGUCCUAUUAGCUUGUUGGUAAGGUAAUGGCUUACCAAGGCAACGAUGGGUAGCUGGUCUGAGAGGAUGAUCAGCCACACUGGCACUGAGACACGGGCCAGACUUCUACGGAAGGCAGCAGUGAGGAAUAUUGGGCAAUGGGCGAAAGCCUGACCCAGCAACGCCGCGUGGGUGAUGAAGCUCUGAGGAGUGUAAAACCCUGUUAGGAGGGAAGAAUGACUUGCUUUGCAGGUUUGACGGUACCUCCAGAGAAAGCUCCGGCUAAUUCCGUGCCAGCAGCCGCGGUAACACGGGGGGAGCAAGCGUUGUCCGGAUUUACUGGGCGUAAAGAGCGUGUAGGCGGGGCAGUCAGUCAUUUGUGAAAUCUCUCGGCUUAACCGGGAAUCUGCAAGUGAUACUGCUGUCCUUGAGUUCGGAAGAGGGAAGUGGAAUUCCUGGUGUAGCGGUGAAAUGCGUAGAUAUCAGGAAGAACACCAGUAGCGAAGGCGGCUUCCUGGUCCGAUACUGACGCUGAGACGCGAAAGCGUGGGGAGCAAACAGGAUUAGAUACCCUGGUAGUCCACGCCGUAAACGAUGGGCACUAGGUGUUGGAGGUUUCGACCCCUUCAGUGCCGAAGCUAACGCAUUAAGUGCCCCGCCUGGGGAGUACGGUCGCAAGACUGAAACUCAAAGGAAUUGACGGGGGCCCGCACAAGCGGUGGAGCAUGUGGUUUAAUUCGAUGCAACGCGAAGAACCUUACCUGGGCUUGAACUGCAGUGGACAACCCCGGAAACGGGGCCUUCCUUCGGGACUGCUGUAGAGGUGCUGCAUGGCUGUCGUC